GACGAACGCUGGCGGCGUGCUUAACACAUGCAAGUCGAACGGAAAGGCCCUGCUUUUGUGGGGUGCUCGAGUGGCGAACGGGUGAGUAACACGUGAGUAACCUGCCCUUGCCUUUGGGAUAACUUCAGGAAACUGGGGCUAAUACCGGAUAGGAGCUCCUGCUGCAUGGUGGGGGUUGGAAAGUUUCGGCGGUUGGGGAUGGACUCGCGGCGUAUCAGCUUGUUGGUGGGGUAGUGGCUUACCAAGGCUUUGACGGGUAGCCGGCCUGAGAGGGUGACCGGCCACAUUGGGACUGAGCUACGGCACAGACUCCUACGGGAGGCAGCAGUGGGGAAUAUUGCACAAUGGGCGGAAGCCUAAUGCAGCAACGCCGCGUGCGGGAUGACGGCCUUCGGGUUGUAAACCGCUUUCGCCUGUGACGAAGCGUGAGUGACGGUAAUGGGUAAAGAAGCACCGGCUAACUACGUG
Molecule: ribosomal RNA, 468 nt
Filed under: uncultured bacterium
Lineage: Bacteria
Description: partial 16S ribosomal RNA
Rfam family: Bacterial small subunit ribosomal RNA
Source: RNAcentral